ACAAUCUCCUUGCCCUUGCUCCCUCACAACAAACACCCUGUGAGGUACCCCAAGUGGAAGAAAAUGUUGUUGGUGGGUAGAAAUCGCUCCCUCCCUGCACCAGCCGCCUUGUUUCGAGAAUGUGGUCUUGAGUCCUCCAGGUCAACCAGCAGCCCUGCGUUGCGCCUUCCUGCAGGAAAGUCCGGCUUUUCUUGGGAGCAGAGAAUGGUGACUGGGAAGCCACCUCCAAACAAAUGAGAAGAUGUCACCUGAGGACAGUCAGCCCCGUGGUGCACGGCUGCUUUCGAGUCUUGGUCAAUCCCAGCAGAUUCUGCUUUUUCUUUUAGUAAUAAAGGUGUUCUUGUGA
Molecule: long non-coding RNA, 346 nt
Organism: Sphaerodactylus townsendi
Lineage: Eukaryota; Metazoa; Chordata; Lepidosauria; Squamata; Sphaerodactylidae
Exons: 2
Source: RefSeq, a predicted model, not a curated record